GAUGAACGCUGGCGGCGUGCUUAACACAUGCAAGUCGAACGGAAAGGCUCCUGCUUGCAGGGGUACUCGAGUGGCGAACGGGUGAGUAACACGUGGGUGAUCUGCCCUGCACUUCGGGAUAAGCCUGGGAAACUGGGUCUAAUACCGGAUAGGACGAUGGUUUGGAUGCCAUUUUGGAAAGUUUUUUCGUUGUGGGAUGAGCUCGCGGCCUAUCAGCUUGUUGGUGGGGUAAUGGCCUACCAAGGCGUCGACGGGUAGCCGGCCUGAGAGGGUGUACGGCGACAUUGGGACUGAGAUACGGCCCAGACUCCUACGGGAGGCAGCAGUGGGGAAUAUUGCACAAUGGGCGCAAGCCUGAUGAAGCGACGCCGCGGGGGGGAUGACGGCCUUCGGGUUGUAAACUGCUUUCGCUAGGGACGAAGCGCAAGUGACGGUACCUGGAGAAGAAGCACCGGCUAACUACGUG
RNAcentral lists this ribosomal RNA (466 nucleotides) under uncultured bacterium. Its description in RNAcentral is "partial 16S ribosomal RNA". It matches the Rfam family "Bacterial small subunit ribosomal RNA", at positions 28 to 507 of the family's 1533-position model. The record is from RNAcentral.